UAAGGAAUAUUGGUCAAUGGACGCAAGUCUGAACCAGCCAUGCCGCGUGGAGGAUGAAGGUCCUCUGGAUUGUAAACUUCUUUUAUAUGGGACGAAAAAGGGCUUUUCUAAGUCAACUGACGGUACCAUAUGAAUAAGCACCGGCUAACUCCGUGCCAGCAGCCGCGGUAAUACGGAGGGUGCAAGCGUUAUCCGGAUUCACUGGGUUUAAAGGGUGCGUAGGUGGGUUGGUAAGUCAGUGGUGAAAUCCCCGAGCUUAACUCGGGAACUGCCAUUGAUACUAUCAGUCUUGAAUACCGUGGAGGUCAGCGGAAUAUGUCAUGUAGCGGUGAAAUGCUUAGAUAUGACAUAGAGCACCAAUUGCGAAGGCAGCUGGCUACACGAUUAUUGACACUGAGGCACGAAAGCGUGGGGAUCAAACAGGAUUAGAUACCCUGGUAGUCCACGCCCUAAACUAUGGAUACUCGACAUACGCGAUACAC
Molecule: ribosomal RNA, 482 nt
Filed under: uncultured Bacteroidota bacterium
Lineage: Bacteria; Pseudomonadati; Bacteroidota
Description: bacterial SSU rRNA
Rfam family: Bacterial small subunit ribosomal RNA
Source: RNAcentral